This 253-nucleotide ribosomal RNA is filed under the name uncultured bacterium. Its description in RNAcentral is "partial 16S ribosomal RNA". It matches the Rfam family "Bacterial small subunit ribosomal RNA", at positions 524 to 776 of the family's 1533-position model. The record is from RNAcentral.
UACGGGGGGGGCAAGCGUUGUUCGGAAUUACUGGGCGUAAAGGGCUCGUAGGUGGCCAACUAAGUCAGACGUGAAAUCCCCAGGCUCAACUUGGGAACUGCGUCUGAUACUGGAUGGCUUGAAUUCGGGAGAGGGAUGCAGAAUUCCAGGUGUAGCGGUGAAAUGCGUAGAUAUCUGGAGGAAUACCGGUGGCGAAGGCGGCAUCCUGGACCGAGAUUGACACUGAGGCGCGACAGCGUGGGGAGCAAACAGG